Papaver somniferum (opium poppy) is the source of this 438-nucleotide long non-coding RNA. RefSeq lists it as uncharacterized. The record is from RefSeq and is a predicted model, not a curated record. The transcript is spliced from 3 exons. Lineage: Eukaryota; Viridiplantae; Streptophyta; Magnoliopsida; Ranunculales; Papaveraceae.
AGUUGAGGCCAAAGAAAAUGAACAAGUAGAUGCAAUCUUGAAAUAUUGGUGGGUGCAGAGCCGGAGAAUUUGUUUUCUAGCAUCUUAAUUGGUGUAAAACUAAGCCUUUGAAGCAACCCAAGGCACAACAGAAAGUAUAUGAUGAGGGUGUCAUUAUAAGGAAAUCAAGAAAACAGUUGGAUAAGCAUAAUAAGAUUUGAGUGAACAAGUUGUAGGUAAUUUUUUAUUUCUUAAAUUCUUGUAGAAAAUGUAUCCACUGCCUAUACGCGCAUGAUGAAGUCCGGUGACAUUGAUUGAACAAGAAACGCAAAACAUGCUCAAUUUUGAUCCCAAAUUGUAGAGACAGACUUGUUAUCUAUAGUUUAUUUUGUUAAAUUUCAGUCAUCUUACAUCUGUAAUUGUAUCGAUUGAUUGUAUGGAUGAAUCCAUAUGUGAUGC